AUGUCAGCUCUCAGGACCCACACAUGUAUUUUGAGAACAUUUAUUCGUCUUCAGUCACAUAAAACAUAUUCACGCACGUUUUGUGCAAAAUUUAAUGGAGAAAAUGCUGUUUUGAAAUGGACGAAACGAAACUCGUAUCCUGUCAUAACAAAUAUACCUUGUGUUUGUUGUUAUUCCAAACAGACGAGUUCUGUGACUGAUGAUUUUUUGGAGAAAGCUGCGCCUUUCGAUGCUCCUACAGAUGCCGAAGAAACGAAUAAAAAAAGAGAUGAGGAUAAAAAGGAAAAAGAAUCAAAAUGGAAAGGACAGAAAAAUGCUUGGAAAAUAGGAUUAAUAUCUCUUGGAGCAACAGCCUUACUUAUUGGUGGCCCCUUUGUUUAUUUAAGGGGAGCACCUGUCCUGGAUCCAGGAGGGAAAGAGAUUGAAGAUGAGUUUUCUCAAUUACCAUUAGUAAUAGCUUAUUUGAAGAGAUCUUGGGUUGAAUUAAAUAAAGAAAAACAGGCAAUAAUUGAACCUUCCAGAGAAAAACUUUUACCUGAUCCUGUACAGUACCCCUAUUAUCAACCACCAUAUACUGUUGUCAUGGAGAUGAAUGAUGUAUUAGUUCACCCUGAUUGGACUUAUAACACUGGAUGGAGAUUUAAGAAGAGACCUCAUAUAGAAUAUUUUUUACAAAGUAUAGCAGCACCUUUGUAUGAAGUUGUAGUAUAUACACAGGAUUCUGGAGCAAAUGCAGAUCCUAUCCUCUUCAAUUUAGACCAAAAGGGAUAUAUAAAUUAUAGAUUAUAUCGUGAUGCAACAAGAUAUAUGCAUGGACAUCAUGUUAAGGAUCUUAGUUGUCUGAACAGGGAUUUAUCAAAAGUCAUCUUUAUAGACUGGAAUGAAAAGUCCUUCUCUCUGCAGCCCCGGAAUGCUCUCAAAGUAAACAGGUGGACAGGAGAUGAUGAUGAUAGGUCAUUGAUAGACCUAGCAAACUUCUUACAAGCCAUAGCCGCAACUAAAGUAGAUGAUGUUAGAGAAGUCUUAGACUACUAUAAAAAUUUUGAUGAUCCUCUUGAAGCAUUUAAAGAUAACCAGAGAAAAUUACAAGAAGAACAAGAAAGACAGUCAAAGUUGAUGCAGGAAAGAGAAAAGAAAAAGCCAACCAAUUUUGGACUGAAUUUUCUUGGCAGAAGAUAAUAAACUUUGUAAAUAGUUAUCUUCAUUGAAUCAAUUGUACUUGAUGUCAUAUGUAAUUUACAAUAAGUUGAAAAAUUACUAUUUCUAAGAAAAGUAUGUUGUGUCCUUAUUUGAAAUUCACUUGUGUGAUUUUUGUUUAUUGAUUCAGAAUUCCCUGUAUUUUCCCUUUGUAAAUGAGCUGGCUACGUACCAAUUUCAAUAAUAUUUGUCAACUUGCUGACAAUGAAGCUUUAAUACAGUUCUGAUAAGAUCUCUGUAUAUUUAUGGUCUUGUCAUACUUUUUUAUGUCAUAAAUUGAACAAAGAUAAUUUGAUGUCAAUGAUUUUUUUAUAUAAGAAGGCUGCACACAGAUAUGAUUUCUAUCUAAUGACAUCACAUUAUAUACAUAAGGACUGGUAUCCAAAUUAGUAGGUGUAACAGUGAUAUAGACAUGGACUGCACAUAACAUUGACAACGUCAGCAUGAUGGAGUAUGGAAUGUAAAAUCGGCAAUUUGACCUAUCCUCUCCACCGACUUGUAGUCAGGGAAUUACGAUAUAAAUUUAAAAGUCAUAUGAAAGUAAUUACAAACUUAUAUUCACAGAUAUGACAGUACAAAUUCCCCAUUGACAAAUAAAAGACUAGUUUAGUUUCAAUUUCAAUUUAUGAAUAGAAAUUUUCUACUUGAAAAUGUGCGACACAUCAUUUUUGCAUAUCCAUCUACUCCCCUUAUCAAAUCUUGUCUAAUCCCAUAUUAAAACCUGUCAUUAAAAUUUCAGCUAAAGUCUCAGGCUAAUAUUAAGACUUUAUAUUGAUAUCACUAUAAUCAGGUAUAUUGAUAUCACUAUAACCAGGACUGAUAUUUGAUAAACUAUAGUAGACGGCUUUACUUUAACUUAUAUUUUUGCAUGAAUAAUGUUUCCCCUAUAAUAAAGAGAAGCAUGUUUUAAAAUUAAGUGUGAUGGGGGUUGCUGUCUCAUUGACCUGUAAACAUUUUCCUGGGUUGUUAUUUUUCUUGAUUUCAAUGCCUAAACUUUUUAUUUGGGGGUUCAAAUUCACCCUUCAACAAUAAGUUUGCAAUUAACAGCAAUAUUAUAAGUUUCUAUAACCCAUUGUGUGGUUGGUAAUUUUAUGCAUUUCUAUCGUAGCUGGGCAUAAAAAUCAAUGUCCUCCUACACUCUUUACAGCAGUGGCUUUUCUUUGAGGUAGAUUUCAUCAUGCAGCAUCAUGAAUAGUACAGGAAGACACAGUCUUGUGCAGUGUGCAUGGUUGGUCCUCAACUUGCAUAUUAUUACACUUACAGUAGGUGUUCAAUUCCUACAAAUAAAGAUUGUUUAUAGGAAUCACCUAAUCCUGUCAUAUUUCCAAUUUGUGUAUUAUAAUGAAUCAUUGGAUCUGCCCACCUUCUUAAUCAGCACUAUUUUAACACAUUGUUCAUGUACCUAUGAUCUUUUAAGUUUUUUAAAAAAUCACAAAAUUUAUUAAUUUGAAAAAGUAGUUGACAUUUUAUAUUGGAAAUAAUAUGAAUGAUUAAUAGAAAUUAUGACACAAUCAGUUAUUAUUCUAAGAUAUAUACAUGUACUAAUUAUUGAAAUUAAAUAAAUAUUUUAUGAGUUAUACUUUGAAAUAUGCACAUUUCAACUAAAUGAUGUAAAAUUGAUUACACGUGGGAUGACACUACUUUCAUAUCACUUCACAAUUACUGCUAAAUUUUUUUUUGAUGUAUGUUUAAAGUUUUACUUUAAUAUUCGAAAUGUUAAUAACAUAGAACUUUAUUUUGAAGAUCUGCAAACUUAAGGUUUUUAGCUCACCUUUCCAAAGGAAAAGUGAGCUUUUGCCAUCACUUGGCGUCUGUCUCCGUCGUCAUUGUCUGUCCGGUGUAAACUUUUUCAAACAUCUUCUCCUCUGAAACUUAUGAACCAAUUCCAACCAAACUUAAGAUGAAUGAUCCUUAGGGUAUCUAGAAUAAACUUUGUGUUUUAUUUUCUGUUUCAUCAAAAAACAUGGUCGCCAUGGCUAAAAAUAGAACAUAAGGGUAAAAUGUAGUUUUUGGCUUUUAUGUCAAAAACUAAAGCAUUUAGAGCAAAUCUGACAUGGGGUAAAAAUUUUCAAAUCAGCCCUGAAAUUUUCAGAUGAAUCUAACGACCCAUUGUUGGGUUGCUGCCACUAAAUUGGUAAUUUUUAGGAAAUUUUGCAGUUUUCAGUUAUUAUCUUGAAUAUUAUUAUAGAUAAAGAUAAACUGUAAACAGCAAAAAUGUUCAGCAAAGUAAGAUCUACAAAUAAGUUUUAUAUGACCAAAAUUGUGAAUUGACUCCUUAAGGAGUUAUUGCCCUUUAAGGACAAUUUUACACAAUUUGUUUUCUAACUUUAAAAAAUCUUCUCCUCUGAAACUGUUGAACCAAAUUAAACCAAACUUAAGCUGAAUGAUUCUUAGGUUAUCUAGAAUAAAGUUUGUGUUUUAUUAUCUGUAUCAUGAGAACAUAGCCGCCAUGGCUAAAAAUAGAACAUAGGGUAAAAUGCAGUUUUUGACUUAUACCUCAAAAACUAAAGCAUUUAGAGCAAAUCAGACAAGAAGUAAAGGUAUUCAUUAGGUCAAGGUCUACCUGCCCUGAAAUUAUCAGCCAAAUCAGGUAUCUGAUUUUUAGGUUACAGCCCCUGAAUUGAUGAUUUUAAGGAGAUUUUGCAGUUUUCGGUUAUUAUCUUGAAUAUUAUUAUAGAUAAAGAUAAACUGUAAACAGCAAAAAUGUUUAGCAAAGUAAGAUCUACAAAUGUAGUGUAUAAUGUUGACUGGUACAAAAAUUGUCUGGCAUAUACUUCAUUCAAGAUUAAAAUUAGGUUGUUUUAGUGUUUAUUUAAAGAAAAAUAGUACAUGUCAAUAAUAUUGAUAUUUUGUCAGUGAAUACCUCUGAUUGUAAGGUGAUAUUGCCACUUAUCUUUUAUAUGUGAGUGGUUUUAUAAUUUUUUGUACAAUACACACCUAUGAAUUAUAGAAUAUAAUAUUGCAACUGUUAAACCAUCUUCAAUGGUGAUGAAUAUCUACUUAUAAAAUUUGAUCUUCUCUGCCAAUAUUUUAUGCAUGGAUUAGAAAUGAAAGUACAAACUAAAUUGAGUAUUUAUACAUGCUCACCAUGACUAUAUCAGAUUUAGACAUGUAUAAAAAUAUUCAAUUUUUAGAUGAGCCUGAUUGAGAGGGGAUUAGCUGUUCUAGAUCUUUAUUACUUAUGAAUAUUGUAUAGUAAUGUUUUGUAUACAUGUAUAUAAUUAUUAUUUGAGCCUGCAACUAAUAAAUGACUUUAUAGAAAAAAAAAAUCUAUGCUUUAAACUCAUGACUUUUUACCUUAACUUCUCCAAAAGGACUGUAUGAGCUAUUAAUUGUCAUUAAUUUAUAUUGACCAGCAUUAGUACAAAAUGUAUGAUAGCCACUGAUCAAGCAAAGAAUAAAUAAAAUGCUCUGCAGGGUGCAGCUUGUUACAACUGCAGAGGUCCAACCCUGAACAGUUGGGACAUAUAUGGACACUAACAUUUAAGCUUGAUACAGCUCUGAAUUUGGAUUGUGAUUAAAUAGUUGACACAGCAAAGGUUUCCGACACAGAAUAAAUGUAGUCCAAAAACUUAAAAAUUUGAAAUUGGACAUCUACUUAUGAUGGUCCAAUAUCCAAAAUCUAAAUUACAUGGUUAGAUUUGGCAUAUCAAAGAACCCAUGAAUUCAAUUUUUGAUGAAAUCCAGCAACGUUUAUUUUUUGACCCUUUGGGUUUAGAUUUUUUUGAGCCUGCGACUACUGUCGCAGAAAGCUCAACAUAGGGAUAGUGAUCCGGCAGCGGUGGUGGCGUUAACUAACUACUUAAAAGCUUUAUAUUUUAAAAGGUGAAAGACCUGGAUGCUUCAUACUUUGUGUAUAGAUGCCUUAUGUUAUGAAGUUUCCGUCUGUCCUUAACCUCAUUUUCAUGGUUCAGUGACUACUUGAAAAAAAAGUUAAGAUUUUUUGUAAUGUUAAUUUCUCUCUUAUUAUGAGUAAUAGGAUAUCUAUAUUUAGUAUGUGCGUACCUUGCAAGUCCUCAUGCCUGUCAGACUGUUUUCAUCUGACCUCGACCUCAUUUCAUGGAUCAGUGAACAAGGUUAAGUUUUUCGUUGUCAAGUCCAUAUAUCAGAUACUAUAAGUAAUAGGUCUAAUAUAUUUGAUGUAUGGAAUGAUUGUAAGGUGUACAUGUCCAACUGGCAGGUGUUUUCUGACCUUGACCUCAUUUUCAUGGUUCAGUGGUUAAAGUUAAGUUUUUGUGUUUUUAUACGACUGCAAAAAAAUUUUUGUGGUCGUAUAUUGGUGUGACGUUGGCGUCGUCGUCGUCGUUGCGUCGUCCAAAGACACAUUAGUUUUCGCACUCUAACUUUAAGUGAAUGGAUCUCUAUGAAAUUUUACCAUAAGGUUCAAUACCACAAAAGGAAGGUGGGGAUUGAUUUUGGGGGUUAUGGUACCAACAGUUAAGGAAUUAGGGGCCAAAAAGGGGCCAAAAAUAAGCAUUUUUGUAACUUCCAGACAUAACUUGUGUGUAAGUGUAUGGAUCUCUCUGACAUUGUACCACAAGGUUCCAUAUCACAAAGGGAAUGCUGGGAUUGAUUUUGGGGGUAAUUGCCUCCAAAUUUUAGGAAUUAGGGGCCAAAAAGGGGCAAAAAACAAGCAUUUUUCUAGUUUCAUGACAAUAACUUGUGUGUAAGUGUAUGGAUCUCUCUGACAUUGUAUCACAAGGUUCCAUAUCACAAAGGGAAUGCUGGGAUUGAUUUUGGGGGUAAUUGCCUCCAAAUUUUAGGAAUUAGGGGCCAAAAGGGUAAAAAAACAAGCAUUUUUCUAGUUUCAUGACAAUAACUUGUGUGUAAGUGGAUGGAUCUUUAUGAAAUUGUACUACAAGGUUCCAUAUCACAAAGAGAAAGCUGGGUUUGAGUUUGGGGGUAAUUGCCCAAAAAGUUUAGGAAUAAGGGGCCAAAAAGGGGCCAAAAAUAAGCAUUUUUCUAGUUUCCAGACAAUAACUUGUGUUCAAGAGUAUGGAUCUCUCUGAAAUUGUACUGCAAGGUACCAUACCACAAAGGGAAGGCUGGGAUUGAUUUUGGGGGUAAUUCCCUCAAAAUUUUAGGAAUUAGGGGCCAUAAAAGGGCAAAAAAACAAGCAUUUUUCUAGUUUCAGGACAAUAACUUGUGUGUAAGUGUAUGGAUCUUUAUGAAAUUGUACUACAAGGUUCCAUAUCACAAAGGGAAAGCUGGGUUUGAGUUUGGGGGUAAUUGCCCUAAACGUUUAGGAAUUUGGGGCCAAAAAGGGGCCAAAAAACACAUUUUUUUCUAGUUUCCAGACAAUAACUUGUGUUCAAGUGUAUGGAUCUCUCUGAAAUUGUACUGCAAGGUACCAUACCACAAAGGGAAGGCUGGGAUUGAGUUUGGGGGUGAUGAAUCAUAAUGGGGGUUCAAAAAAUUUUGGGGGGGGAUUUAUUUUUUUUUCCUUUUUUUUCUUUUUUUCCUUUUUUGUUUCUUUUAAAAUUUUUCAUUUUAAGUUGGUUAUUUCUGAUUUAUAUUAAAAAUCAAAUAAUAAUGAUAUGGUAGGAGAUACACACCAAACAGGAUAUGUAAAUUAUUAUAUAAUAAGUAUUGUGCAAUAGCAAGAAAUCUUCAAUUGCACAGUAUUGCGCAAUAGCAAGAAAUCUUCAAUUGCACAGUAUUGCGCAAUAGCAAGAAAUAUCCAAUAGCACAAUAUUGCGCAAUAGCAAGAAAUUGUCAAUUGUACAGUAUUGCGCAAUAGCAAGAAAUAUUUAAUAGCACAGGAUUGUGCAAAAGAAGAUACUUCCUAUAAAUUGCUUAUUUCUUGACCAAUUUCAAUGGGGUUUUAUUCUUGAUUUCAUGGGGUUCUUUAAUAUGCUGAAUCUAACCGUGUAUUUAGUUUUUGGAUUUUGGGCCCCGUUUUUAAAUUGGUCCACAUUGAGGUCCAAAGGGUCCAAAAUUAAACUUUGUUUGAUUUCAUCAAAAAUUGAAUUAUUGGGGUUCUUUGAUAUGCCGAAUCUAACUGUGUAUUUAGAUUCUUAAAUUUUGGUUCCUUUUUCAAAUUGGUCUACAUUAAGGUCCAAAGGGUCCAAAAUUAAACUUAGUUUGAUUUUAACAAAAAUUGAAUUCUUAGGGUUCUUUGAUAUGCUGAAUCUAAACAUGUAUUUAGAUUUUUGAUUAUGGGCCCAGUUUUCAAGUUGGUCCAAAUCGGGGUCCAAAAUUAAACUUUGUUUGAUUUCAACAAAAAUUGAAUAUAUGGGGUUCUUUGAUAUGCUGAAUCUAACCAUGUAUUUAGAUUUUUGAUUUUUGGGCCCCGUUAUCAACUUUGUCCACAUUGAGGUCAAAAGGGUCCAAAAUUAAACUUUGUUUGAUUUCAUCAAAAAUUGAAUUCUUGGGGUUCUUUGAUAUGCUGAAUCUAACCAUGUAUUUAGAUUUUGGAUAUUGGACCAUAAUAGGUGAAUGUCCAAUUUAAAAAUUUUAAGUUCUUAGACCACAUUCAUUCUGUGUCAGAAACCUAUGCUGUGUCAAAUAUUUAAUCACAAUCCAAAUGCAAAGCUGUAUCAAGCUUGAAUGUUGUGUCCAUACUUGCCCCAACUGUUCAGGGUUCGACCUCUGCGGUCGUAUUAGCUGCGGCCUGCGGAGCAUUUUAUUUUAGAUUGUCAAGUGACAAAUACAGAUUUUUGAUUAAUAUUAUCAUUUACAUGACGCCUUCAGUUUCUAUUUCAUUGUUCAAGCUAUAAGUCAUCCUGUUGGUAGCUGUAUUAUUCAGGUUUUUAAUACGACCUCAAAAAAUCAUAUAUUGCUAUCAUGUCGUCUUCCGAAGACAUUUGUUUUCCAGACAAUAACUUUAGUUUAAGUGUAUGGAUCUCUAUGAAAUUUACUGAAAAGGUUCAAUACCACAAAAGGAAGGUUGGGAUUGUUUUUUGGGGUGAUGGUCCCAACCGUUUAGGAAUUGGGGGCCAAAAAGGGGCCCAAAACAAGCAUUCUAGUUUCAGGACAAUAACUUGUCUAUAAGUAUUUUGAUAGCUCUGAAAUUGUACCACAAGGUUCAAACCACAGGUAGAAGGUUGGGAUACAUUUUGGGAGUAAUUGCCUAAACUGUUCAGGAAUUAGGGUUCAAAAAAGAUUUUUAUACGACCGCUUGUAUAUUGGUAUGACGUUGGUGUCGUCGUCUUCGUCCGAGGACACAUGGGUUUUCGCACUCUAACUUUAGUUAAAGUGAAUGGAACUCUAUGAAUUUUUACCAUAAGGUUCAAUACCACAAAAGGAAGGUUGGGAUUGAUUUUGGGGGUUAUGGUACCAACAGUUGAGGAAUUAGGGGCCAAAAAGGAGCCAAAAAUAAGCAUUUUUGUAACUUCCAGACAUAACUUGUGUAUUAGAGUAUGGAUCUCUAUGAAAUUGUACUACAAGGUUCCAUAUCACAAAGGGAAAGCAGGGUUUGAGUUUGGGGGUAAUUGCCCUAAAUGUUUAGGAAUAAGGGGCCAAAAAACAAGCAUUUUUCUAGUUUCCAGACAAUAACUUGUGUUCAAGUAUAUGGAUCUCUCUGAAAUUGUACUGCAAGGUACUAUAUCACAAAGGGAAGGCUGGGAUUGAGUUUGGAGGUGAUGAAUCAUAAGGGGGUUCAAAAAAUUGGGGGGG
This is an RNA transcript of Mytilus californianus (California mussel), 8814 nucleotides long. It is a transcript of the gene named mitochondrial import inner membrane translocase subunit TIM50-C-like, with no coding region annotated. Lineage: Eukaryota; Metazoa; Mollusca; Bivalvia; Mytilida; Mytilidae. The record is from RefSeq and is a predicted model, not a curated record. The transcript has 12 exons.